Molecule: ribosomal RNA, 495 nt
Filed under: uncultured bacterium
Lineage: Bacteria
Description: partial 16S ribosomal RNA
Rfam family: Bacterial small subunit ribosomal RNA
Source: RNAcentral
GACGAACGCUGGCGGCGUGCCUAAUACAUGCAAGUAGAACGCUGAAGGAGGAGCUUGCUUCUCUGGAUGAGUUGCGAACGGGUGAGUAACGCGUAGGUAACCUGCCUGGUAGCGGGGGAUAACUAUUGGAAACGAUAGCUAAUACCGCAUAACAGUAGAUAUCGCAUGAUAUCUACUUGAAAGGUGCAAUUGCAUCACUACCAGAUGGACCUGCGUUGUAUUAGCUAGUUGGUGAGGUAACGGCUCACCAAGGCGACGAUACACAGCCGACCUGAGAGGGUGAUCGGCCACACUGGGACUGAGACACGGCCCAGACUCCUACGGGAGGCAGCAGUAGGGAAUCUUCGGCAAUGGACGGAAGUCUGACCGAGCAACGCCGCGUGAGUGAAGAAGGUUUUCGGAUCGUAAAGCUCUGUUGUAAGAGAAGAACGAGUGUGAGAGUGGAAAGUUCACACUGUGACGGUAUCUUACCAGAAAGGGACGGCUAACUACGUG